GUAAAUCUCGCUCUUAUCGAUCUGUCUUCAAUAGAAAAUAUAAUAUCUCUUUGGUUUCUCCGCUGCUUCAGCUUGCUGCCAUUCUUCAUGUGCUUGCCCUGCUCUUGCCUCCAUUGAUUCUAGGUAAAAAAAAGGGUUGCUUCAACUUUCAUAACUGAUGAAUUCAAAAGAGCCAAACAAAUAUAUAUACAAAGAAAAAAUGAAGGUUGUGGCGCAACUCAAACGCCGUAAUACAUAUAGCGAAAUAUCUUCUAUCCUUCAAAAUUCAACACUUGCUGUCCCCGAGCAACCAACAUCAUCUUGGUGCAGUUCACGAGUCCCAAAACAGGUUGCUCUUACCAUACGAGAGCCACUUUCGGUUGUUCAAAAAGGUUCAAAACACGGAUAUUCAAAUACUCCUAUUCUGCUUGUGUGUUGUGCAUCUAUCAAUACUUGAUUUGCAACUUUAAUUAUCAUAACUACUCUUUGUCCCUGCUACCCGUCCUCAGCUAUCUGUGAGCACAGACAAUAACAAAGAAAAAGGAAAGGAUUUAUGCACGUCCUCUGUCAUUAGUGAAACAAGGAGCGUAUCCAACACAUCUAACCAAGCUCUUCAUAUCCAAAAUACAAUUCCAACCAAAGGUCCGCACAAAUCUUACAAUACAAGACAAUAAAAUCUUCAACAGAUGUCAAAGAAGCUACUGAAUGUUUGUUUGAGAGAAACAUUAUUGUUGUAGAAGAGGAUUUGUUGCUGUAGACAAAAUUAAAUACCCAACAACGAAUAGCAUAUGAUACAAUCCUUGAUAGAAUAUUUUCCAACAAAUCAGGAGCUUUUUUUGUUGAUGGACCUGGAGGAACAGAUGAUGACGAUGAUCAUUCAACAUACAACAUAGUCUACAACGAAAUCAUUCAAAAAGCAUUCACAUGAAACCAUCCUUGGAUGCCCCUAAAUCCUUUUGACUGUGCCUCCUCCAUCAGAAAAGCCUGCCCUCAGAGUUGACAAAGUCCUAUAGAUCAGUCCACCAUUAUGAUACAGGUAUUUUACUUUUAUUUGUAUAAAUUAUAAUCAUAUUUUUUCCCUGCACAUAAUUUACACUACAAAGUAAACGUUUAAACUUCAGUUUAUUCCUGCUUCUAUCGUCGGCUACCAAAACGACCGGAAAUGUUUCAAAAGAAAGUAGGCACGCCAAACAUAGACUUUGAGGUGCUUCAGAAGAUUAAUGAAGCUUAUCUUCUCCUUCCUUCUCUGCUUCCAGACGAGUUCAUCUCUUAGUUACAAACUCAGGUAUGUUUUUACCCAAAAUUUCUUUUAUUUUUCUCAGUUCCCCUUCUGCUUCUUUUGUUUUCACGAGACACUGAUUCAAGUGUCAGUCCAAACCAUAUGUAUAGACUAGGCGGUCAACAAGAUUUAGAGGAAUCCCCAGUCGUGGUCACAGGUACCUUAUCUAUUUUCUCACUUGAUGUAUACGCUUUCAUAAACUCAGGAGCUGCUCUCUCAUAUACUAAAUAGAGUCGGACUUUGUUAUGCCAACCAUUGGAAAGCACAUGUAUUCCCCAGCUAUUGAUCUGUACACAGCCAAACAGUCAAAAUGUUAUAUAUUAGACUUUUCCGCAGCAAAUAGGAGGAAUAUGACAGCACAAUACAUAACAGAACUAAUAGCUAUUGCUCUAAAUAUUAGUUAGUUUUGAAUUCUGAAGUUACUGAAAAAGAAUUGUGCUUCUUUUUUAUUAUUAUCGGUUGUUUCUCUUGCAGUAUGCUAAAUUUCGAUGAGUACAUGAUUAUUAUACUUGAGGAGCUGCAUAUUGGUACUGCUUCGUAUAUUUUCCAGCUGCAUACUUCAAACCCAUCCCUCAAGUUUAUUUGUAGUAUUACUAAUUUGGUUUGCUAUUAUAAUGUUUCCUUUUUUGAUUUAUAUUAGGUUUGAGCAAACGACAACAACUUUUGUUGUCACUAAUAUGGACUAUUUCAUCGGUGGGAAUACUACAAAUCCUGCAACCAAUGAUUGAUAAUGGCAUAAAUUACACAAAAAUAAAAAUGAACACAAAUGUUUACUGCUGCUCUUUUUUUCUUUCAAAGUGUUAAUUCUGGUUCUUUGUGAUCUUACGAUAAUAUGCUUUUGUGUCACUUUUCUUAUGUUUUUCAUAGUGUUGAA
Long non-coding RNA from Solanum stenotomum, 2132 nucleotides. RefSeq lists it as uncharacterized. The record is from RefSeq and is a predicted model, not a curated record. The transcript is spliced from 6 exons. NCBI's taxonomy places the organism in Eukaryota, Viridiplantae, Streptophyta, Magnoliopsida, Solanales, Solanaceae.